This 796-nucleotide ribosomal RNA is filed under the name uncultured bacterium. RNAcentral describes it as "bacterial SSU rRNA". It matches the Rfam family "Bacterial small subunit ribosomal RNA", at positions 63 to 871 of the family's 1533-position model. The record is from RNAcentral.
UGAGCGGAGAUAUAUGGAGCUUGCUUUAUAUAACUUAGCAGCGAACGGGUGAGUAACACGUAGAUAAUCUAUCCUAUACUGGGGGAUAGCCCGAUGAAAGUUGGAUUAAUACCGCAUAUAGCUAUAUAGUUGCAUGAUUAUGUAGUGAAAGAUUUAUUGGUAUAGGAGGAGUCUGCGGCACAUUAGCUAGUAGGUGAGGUAAAGGCUUACCUAGGCGACGAUGUGUAGCCGGUCUGAGAGGAUGAACGGCCACAAUGGAACUGAGACACGGUCCAUACUCCUACGGGAGGCAGCAGUGGGGAAUAUUGCACAAUGGGGGAAACCCUGAUGCAGCAACGCCGCGUGAGUGAAGAAGGUUUUCGGACUGUAAAGCUCUGUUAGCAGGGAAGAGGAAGGACGGUACCUGCAGAGGAAGCCACGGCUAACUACGUGCCAGCAGCCGCGGUAAUACGUAGGUGGCAAGCGUUGUUCGGAAUAACUGGGCGUAAAGGAUGCGUAGGCGGUUAAACAAGUUAUAUGUUAAAUAUAUAGGCUUAACCUGUAGAAAGCAUAUAAAACCGUUUAACUAGAGUGCAGGAGAGGUAAGUGGAAUUCCUAGUGUAGCGGUGAAAUGCGUAGAGAUUAGGAAGAACACCAGUGGCGAAGGCGACUUACUGGACUGUAACUGACGCUGAGGCAUGAGAGCAUGGGGAGCAAACAGGAUUAGAUACCCUGGUAGUCCAUGCUGUAAACGAUGGGUACUAGGUGUGGGUUGUGAAUAACAAUUCGUGCCGUCGCAAACGCAAUAAGUACCCCG